This is a long non-coding RNA of Diachasma alloeum, 574 nucleotides long. RefSeq lists it as uncharacterized. NCBI's taxonomy places the organism in Eukaryota, Metazoa, Arthropoda, Insecta, Hymenoptera, Braconidae. The record is from RefSeq and is a predicted model, not a curated record. The transcript is spliced from 4 exons.
UUGGCAUCAGAAUCGCCAGUAGAUACAGAAUCAACCUUCACUUGGCGAAAAAAUUGGAUUUUGCCGAAAGUCAACUUUUCCUCUGGAAAAAUCUAAGGAAAAACAAGAUCUGCCACUGCGGCCCCAGGAAAAAAUAUUGUUUUUAUUUCUGCAUGUCUGGGCCUCCGAGUGUUUCAUUAGCUUCAGAAUUGUCCAACAUGUACAAAUAUUUUCAUGAGGAAAAACUCAUGAAAUUUUCGAGACUCUUAUUAUAUAAAGAACAUCGGCUCUCCCUCAUCAUUCGUGAUAAAGCGACUGCCUUCAAGAAAAAAACCUAGGAAAAUCUUGGCAUCAUGAACUACCUCUCCAUCUUCAUGUUAAUUGCGCUGCUGGCGGCGGCUGUUAGCGGACAACCCUGCAAGGGACGUGGACUUCCGUGCAUGAGACAUCACGAGUGUUGUUCAACCGUGUGUCACAGGCGCAGAUGUCGUUAAUAAAUGAAUGUCCUGACUCCGAACACUUUGGGCAUCCGAAACAUUGACUAUUAUGAAAGGAUUUGUCUGUUUUUCAAUUGAAUAAACAUAUAACUGCAAUU